RNAcentral lists this ribosomal RNA (776 nucleotides) under uncultured bacterium. RNAcentral's name for it is "bacterial SSU rRNA". It matches the Rfam family "Bacterial small subunit ribosomal RNA", at positions 62 to 823 of the family's 1533-position model. The record is from RNAcentral.
UCGAGGGGCAGCGGGGGCGGAAGCUUGCUUUCGCCCGCCGGCGACCGGCGCACGGGUGAGUAACACGUAUGCAACCUGGCCGCCACAGGGGGAUAACCCGCGGAAACGCGGCCUAAUACCCCGUGACGCCACCGGAGGGCAUCCUCCGGUGGCCAAAGGAGCGAUCCGGUGGCGGAUGGGCAUGCGGCGCAUUAGCUAGACGGCGGGGUGACGGCCCACCGUGGCGACGAUGCGUAGGGGUUCUGAGAGGAAGGCCCCCCACACUGGGACUGAGACACGGCCCAGACUCCUACGGGAGGCAGCAGUGAGGAAUAUUGGUCAAUGGGCGGAAGCCUGAACCAGCCAAGUCGCGUGAGGGAUUAAGGCCCUGCGGGUCGUAAACCUCUUUUGCCGGGGAGCAGUGGUCCGGACGCGUCCGGGCCGGGAGAGUACCCGGAGAAAAAGCAUCGGCUAACUCCGUGCCAGCAGCCGCGGUAAUACGGAGGAUGCGAGCGUUAUCCGGAUUUAUUGGGUUUAAAGGGUGCGUAGGCGGGCAUUUAAGCCGGCGGUCAAAUGUCGGGGCUCAACCCCGGCCUGCCGUCGGAACUGGGUGCCUUGAGUGGGCGAGAAGUAUGCGGAAUGCGUGGUGUAGCGGUGAAAUGCAUAGAUAUCACGCAGAACCCCGAUUGCGAAGGCAGCAUACCGGCGCCCUACUGACGCUGAGGCACGAAAGUGCGGGUAUCGAACAGGAUUAGAUACCCUGGUAGUCCGCACAGUAAACGAUGGAUGCUAUCUGU